UUGAUCCUGGCUCAGAAUCAACGCUGGCGGCGUGCCUAACACAUGCAAGUCGAACGCGAAAGUCCCGCAAGGGAUCGGUAGAGUGGCAAACGGGUGAGUUACACGUGGGUGACCUGCCUUCGAGUGGGGGAUAACGUCCCGAAAGGGACUCUAAUACCGCAUGACAUCCUGCCUUUGAACAGGUGGAAAUCAAAGCUGGUGAUCGCAAGACCUAGCGCUUGAAGAGGGGCCCGCGCCUGAUUAGCUAGUUGGUGAGGUAACGGCUCACCAAGGCAACGAUCAGUAUCCGGCCUGAGAGGUCGGACGGACACACUGGGACUGAGACACGGCCCAGACUCCUACGGGAGGCUGCAGUGGGGAAUUGUUCGCAAUGGGCGCAAGCCUGACGACGCAACGCCGUGUGGAGGAUGAAGACCUUCGGGUCGUAAACUCCUUUCGAUCGAGACGAAUGGCUUCCGGGCUAAUCACCGGGAGAGUGACGGUACCGAGAGAAGAAGCCUCGGCUAACUCCGUGCCAGCAGCCGCGGUAAUAAGGU
Molecule: ribosomal RNA, 536 nt
Filed under: uncultured Acidobacteriota bacterium
Lineage: Bacteria; Pseudomonadati; Acidobacteriota
Description: bacterial SSU rRNA
Rfam family: Bacterial small subunit ribosomal RNA
Source: RNAcentral